Molecule: long non-coding RNA, 1288 nt
Organism: Salvator merianae (Argentine black and white tegu)
Lineage: Eukaryota; Metazoa; Chordata; Lepidosauria; Squamata; Teiidae
Source: Ensembl
AUGGGCCCAUCUUCUCUCAUCUACACAUCUGGGGCUGUGGAAUAUCAGACAGGCACAGGCAGGGAACCAUCGGUGUCUAUUACUGUCCUCAGCUGUCUUACAUGCACACUGGGAAGGGGAAUUGUGAGUUCCCUACUGCAAGAGAGAACUAGGGCUGCAGGUCUACAUCUUUCCCUUGAAACUGGAGUGCUAGUAAGGGGCCUGAAGAUGCUAACGUUCCAGAACAUAACCAUCGUGCAAGAGAGAUUCUCUUCUGCUUCUAUAAAUGUGUCGUCACUCACUUUUUGAAAUACAGUAAAUGCUGUUGUUUAUUCUGCUCAACAGAUAACAGAAAAUAGCUCAGUAAGUGCUACAGAACUCCAUCAUUCUCUUAAAUACAUAUACAAAAGAAUCGCAAACACCAGGAAGAAGUAACUAAUUAUACUAUAGCAUCAUGCACUGAAAUGAAGGAUGGUCUGCCCUCUUGUGUCUCAGUAUUUUAAAUUCUAAUGGUAUAACAAAUUCAGUCUUUCUGUGUUUUCUGACAAGUGCAUUAUGUAGAAAUUAACAUUGUUUAUGUCAUAAGAUGAAACCAAAUGCAAUAUUACAGAAAAGAUCAAAACCGAAGAAAAGGGGUAAAAUUAUUUGGAUAUCAUGCCUGCCUUUAUAUAAUCUCUCAUGAAUACUUCAGCAACUGAAAAUGAAGUAUAAAUUGAGCUGCUAACAUUCCAAAUGUGUUGAUUGUAAAAUAUUUACCUGUUAUGUUUUGUAUGUUUUUACUUUUGGGCUGUAAUGAGGAAUGAUCUUUAUUCUGUGUUCUUUUUCUAAAGACUUUUUUUCUGUUAAGUGUUAUUUAUAAAGCAGUUAUCUUUGUUACAAAAAAGCUUUCCUACUUAUUUUAGUCUUUGUAUUAUAAGAAAUGAAAUUAAUUUAAAUAAGUUCCCAAAGGUCUUUGAAGUGUGAGUUUAAAAUGUGUGCCUUGUUUUAAAGCAUUUAUUUAAAUAAGGAAGCUGAAAUAUUCUAAAAGUAUAAACCUAGAUAGGAGCUGCCAUUAUUCAGAAGUGGGUAUUUCCUCUUCAGUUGCCUGCACAAUCAUAUGAUUAAGCAGAAGUCAGUCCCAUUGAAUUCAUUGGGGCUUAUACCUUGAAAAUGACCAUAAUACUGCAGCCUCUUUCAUUAAUUUCUAUAAUAUUCCUUGCAUAAUGACGUAAAAGAAAAGGAGAGAAAUAUUGUCAGUUUGCUUAACAUGCAUAAUCUGGGUCAGAAGCAUCCAGUUAAUAUGAGCAAGGUCUCAAGAGACAACAUGAUG